Molecule: ribosomal RNA, 246 nt
Filed under: Triticum aestivum (bread wheat)
Lineage: Eukaryota; Viridiplantae; Streptophyta; Magnoliopsida; Poales; Poaceae
Description: partial small subunit ribosomal RNA
Source: RNAcentral
AUGUCCAUGCAGCAGCAACCGCCGCACCCGCAGCAGGCCUACUCCCAGCAGGCGGCGCAGCCAAUGCAGCAGUGGUCGCCGUCGUACCUUUACAUGCCGUACCCGCACGCGUCGCCGGAGUCCUACUACCAGGACUACUAUAGCCCGCCCGGGACGCACGCGCCGCCGCCUCCGCAUCCGCCGCCGCUGCAGGACUCGUACCGCCUGUUCGACGACGAGAACCCAAACUCGUGCCGCGUCAUGUGA